Molecule: ribosomal RNA, 686 nt
Filed under: Hoplotylus femina
Lineage: Eukaryota; Metazoa; Nematoda; Chromadorea; Rhabditida; Pratylenchidae
Description: eukaryotic LSU rRNA
Rfam family: Eukaryotic large subunit ribosomal RNA
Source: RNAcentral
ACUUUGAAGAGAGAGUUAAAGAGGACGUGAAACCGGUGAGGUGGAAACGGACAGAGCUGGCGUAUCUGGCCUGUAUUCAGCCGUACGGCUUCUGGCGUCGGGGUGGCCCGCCUCCAGAUUGGGACGGUGCCUCGUCUGCCGGGGGUCGGAUGGUGCAUUUACAGGUGGAGUGCGCCGAGGCGUCCGGUGCAGCGGCAUGAGCUCGGGCUUGAGGCCAGCGCCGCUUGCGCUGUUGGUACCCGGCUCGGGGGAGUGUUGUUUGUGCUGGGCGUUUGGCUUGAGCAGUGGUUUUUCGGGACCGAGUUGUUGCCGUGCUAGCAGUCGGUAACGGUCGCGUGCGACACGUGCUGGCGGUUGGUGCGGUCCGGCGUGGGCCCCCUCACAUGUUCGCCCUCGGUGUAACAGCCGGUCAUCUGUCCGACCCGUCUUGAAACACGGACCAAGGAGUUUAGCGUGUGCGCGAGUCAUUGGGUGUUGAAAACUCAGAGGCGCAAUGAAAGUGAAGGCCUCCCUUGCGGAGCUGAUGUGCGAUCCCGUGUGCCGCGGUGCAUGGGCGCAGCAUAGUCCCGUCCCGAUCGCUUGCGGUGGGGCGGAGACAGAGCGUACGCGCUGAGACCCGAAAGAUGGUGAACUAUUCCUGAGCAGGAUGAAGCCAGAGGAAACUCUGGUGGAAGUCCGAAGCGAUU